GAUGAACGCUGGCGGCGUGCUUAACACAUGCAAGUCGAACGAAGCACUUUGGACAGAUUCUUCGGAUGAAGUCCCUGGUGACUGAGUGGCGGACGGGUGAGUAACGCGUGGGUAACCUGCCUCAUACAGGGGGAUAACAGUUAGAAAUGACUGCUAAUACCGCAUAAGACCACAGUACCGCAUGGUACAGGGGUAAAAACUCCGGUGGUAUGAGAUGGACCCGCGUCUGAUUAGCUGGUUGGUGGGGUAACGCCUACCAAGGCGACGAUCAGUAGCCGGCCUGAGAGGGCGACCGGCCACAUUGGGACUGAGACACGGCCCAAACUCCUACGGGAGCAGCAGGUGGGAAUAUGCACAAUGGGCAAAGCCUGAUGCAGCGACGCCGCGUGAGCGA
Molecule: ribosomal RNA, 394 nt
Filed under: uncultured bacterium
Lineage: Bacteria
Description: bacterial SSU rRNA
Rfam family: Bacterial small subunit ribosomal RNA
Source: RNAcentral